RNAcentral lists this ribosomal RNA (514 nucleotides) under uncultured bacterium. RNAcentral's name for it is "partial 16S ribosomal RNA". It matches the Rfam family "Bacterial small subunit ribosomal RNA", at positions 28 to 523 of the family's 1533-position model. The record is from RNAcentral.
GAUGAACGCUGGCGGCGUGCCUAAUACAUGCAAGUCGAGCGAACAGAUGAGAAGCUUGCUUCUCUGAUGUUAGCGGCGGACGGGUGAGUAACACGUGGGUAACCUACCUAUAAGACUGGGAUAACUCCGGGAAACCGGGGCUAAUACCGGAUAAUAUUUUGAACCGCAUGGUUCAAUAGUGAAAGACGGUUUCGGCUGUCACUUAUAGAUGGACCCGCGCCGUAUUAGCUAGUUGGUAAGGUAACGGCUUACCAAGGCGACGAUACGUAGCCGACCUGAGAGGGUGAUCGGCCACACUGGAACUGAGACACGGUCCAGACUCCUACGGGAGGCAGCAGUAGGGAAUCUUCCGCAAUGGGCGAAAACCUGACGGAGCAACGCCGCGUGAGUGAUGAAGGUCUUCGGAUCGUAAAACUCUGUUGUUAGGGAAGAACAAAUUUGUUAGUAACUGAGCAAGUCUUGACGGUACCUAACCAGAAAGCCACGGCUAACUACGUGCCAGCCGCCGCGGUAA